Non-coding RNA from Pelobates cultripes (western spadefoot toad), 319 nucleotides. Lineage: Eukaryota; Metazoa; Chordata; Amphibia; Anura; Pelobatidae. The record is from the annotation of a GenBank genome assembly.
GCAGUGGUGGCUGGUAAAGUUUAAAGAUGGUGGGGUGCUGCCCCCAACUAGUUUUGCCGUACCCACUUGACUAGGGUUACCAGAUCCACCAUAUGUUUAGGGACAUAUCAACAUUUCCUCAUAUUUAUAAAAACACAUAAAAGUAUGCACAAUGGAUAUUUUGCAGGAUUCUUCAUUGCCUAAUUACUUAAUCUUAUACACCUUCUUCUGAAUUCUACAUACUAUAGGGCAACCCUUUUCAUGUGGUGUCCCAUCAAUAUGCAUACAUGAUAUGUGUCCCUAAAAACCAUGAUGGUUAUGGUAACCCUACACAUGAGAC